CUUAAGCUCCAGUAGGUUGAAAAAAAUGUUGAAAUCUAUAACGACAAGAAAUUCUCAUUGCAUAAAUUCUGACCUUCAUAUACGCUCAUAUUCAGAAGAGGCCAAGACAACAUGAAGGUCAAUUCUUGCAGGUGACAAUUAAAAAUAGUCAUGACGUAAGAAAAUGUCGAUAAAGUCCAUAACUGUAUGAUUAAAAUCCGAUGAAAUAAUAGAAGAUAUGAGGAUUGCAAACGAUUCAGAAAUUAUACUUACAUUAAGUUAAUCUAUAAGUUUUCAGCGAUUGCUGACUGAAGACAAAAAUGGACACGACUUAGUUGACAUUGUUUUGGGAAAAUUGCACAAACUUUAAUUUGCGUCUACAUGAUUCUUUAGAUUUGGCACCUUUUACAUUUCAAUUCGCUUACCCCUUUUUGAAGAGACUCUUUGUAUCCCUUUCAUGUUUGCUCCUUCUCACGACUUUGCAAAAUGCUAGUGUCCAAUUAACGUUGAAGUCGACGGAAAUUGAUGACUUCACUGGGAGCAUUAACUAUCGACGUGAAAAACUGCUGUACGUUUACGUUAAAUACUUAACCCUUGUAUAAAAAUUUAGACAUA
This is a long non-coding RNA of Tribolium castaneum (red flour beetle), 594 nucleotides long. RefSeq lists it as uncharacterized. Lineage: Eukaryota; Metazoa; Arthropoda; Insecta; Coleoptera; Tenebrionidae. The record is from RefSeq and is a predicted model, not a curated record. The transcript has 2 exons.